CAGCAGCCGCGGGAAUACGUAGGGUGCGAGCGUUAAUCGGAAUUACUGGGCGUAAAGCGUGCGCAGGCGGUUAUGUAAGACAGGUGUGAAAUCCCCGGGCUUAACCUGGGAACUGCGCUUGUGACUGCACAGCUAGAGUAUGGCAGAGGGGGGUGGAAUUCCACGUGUAGCAGUGAAAUGCGUAGAGAUGUGGAGGAACACCGAUGGCGAAGGCAGCCCCCUGGGCCAAUACUGACGCUCAUGCACGAAAGCAUGGGGAGCAAACAGGAUUAGAUACCCCGGUAGUCCCUGUCUCUUAUAA
This 301-nucleotide ribosomal RNA is filed under the name uncultured bacterium. Its description in RNAcentral is "partial 16S ribosomal RNA". It matches the Rfam family "Bacterial small subunit ribosomal RNA", at positions 509 to 809 of the family's 1533-position model. The record is from RNAcentral.